AGAAAUUUAGGCUAAUAUAGACCAAAAGCCUUCAAAGCUUUAAGCGAGAGUGGAAAUCUCCCAAUUUCUG
Molecule: transfer RNA, 70 nt
Filed under: Squatina aculeata (sawback angelshark)
Lineage: Eukaryota; Metazoa; Chordata; Chondrichthyes; Squatinidae
Description: tRNA-Trp
Rfam family: tRNA
About the family: Transfer RNA (tRNA) molecules are approximately 80 nucleotides in length. Their secondary structure includes four short double-helical elements and three loops (D, anti-codon, and T loops). Further hydrogen bonds mediate the characteristic L-shaped molecular structure. tRNAs have two regions of fundamental functional importance: the anti-codon, which is responsible for specific mRNA codon recognition, and the 3' end, to which the tRNAs corresponding amino acid is attached (by aminoacyl-tRNA synthetases). tRNAs cope with the degeneracy of the genetic code in two manners: having more than one tRNA (with a specific anti-codon) for a particular amino acid; and 'wobble' base-pairing, i.e. permitting non-standard base-pairing at the 3rd anti-codon position.
Source: RNAcentral